UAUUUUUUUUCAUAAGGAGAACAGUUAUUUGAUGUUCAUAUUUUAGUUAGCUAGCCACUAAGCUAAAUGAUGCUCAAGUGGGGGCCCUGUGGUUGUUGGCACGUGCUAUAACACAGGGUCUCUGGUUCAUUCCUGGGUACAGUUUCAGACAGGUUGGUGUAGCAAAGAUGUGCUUAGGCCUCCACAGGUACACCUUGUUUCACUGCACAGCAUGUUUACUUAAUCAGUUUAAUAACAGCACUUACACCAUCUGGAGUGCAAGACCCCACAUUAAGAACAGGUGAGCAUUGCCUGACUUUGCUGAGGACUGAGCAGAGAGCAAAAUAAGGAGGUCUUGAAGAUCUUGCCAUCAUUUGAAACAAAAAUCAUAUUCAUACCUUUAUGGGAUCUCCUUCCACAAGAGUUGUAUUAGAUUUUAUAAGAGCAGUUUUUGAGAGUUUCAAUUCUGAAGAAAAAAAAAAUCUGAAGCUCUUCUUAUCUAGAAUCUGUGUUUCUGCCCCCAUGACAGAUCCUCAGUAGAGAACAGAUAGUGCUUUGAAUUUUCAAAUCUAAAUUGUCUGUGAUAUUUGGCUUAUCAAUCACUUCUAUACUCUGUUGUUUCAAGUGGUAAAGGAAUAUAUACCAUCUGAUCUAGCAGACAACUAGUAUGCCUGUUGUGUGUCUGUUCUUAUAUUUCACUAUAUGGUAUGAAGGAUAUUUCCAUAAGCGUCACUUAGGAAGUCACCACUAUGUGUGAUGAAGCCUGGCUUUCCUGACUGAACACCUGCCUGCCCGUGGGAAGUGGACAGAAGUUUAUGCAGCCUCUUCAUAAAUGAUGAGAACCUUUCCUCAGGCAACCCACUUUAAUAAUCCACUGCUCUUCUUACUGGAAAGAUUUUCAAAAAUUAGAUAAGUAUCCCUGACUUUAAAUUAAACUUCUUGUUCUUUGUUCUGUUUAUCUUUGCUUAUGGCAGUACUUUUUACAUGUUUACAUAGUCAUCUCAUAUUUUUUCUUUCCUUCUGUGUCCAUCUGUAAACUAAAGAGACAUAAUUUGUUAAUUUUCUUUUCAUUGGCUGUAUAUUAUAAACCUAUGAUCAUUCUCUCUCCUGUACUUUGAAAAACAAAUCAGCACCAUCUUUAUCUUUUUGAAGUUUGACAUACAGAACUGGACAUAUUGCCCUCCAAGUUCUUAGUUCAUUAUUGACUGGGUAAUCAGCCUAGAAUCAUCUGGGCUUUGUCAGAUAAAUUCUAUAUUUCCUGGUUUUCCUUUAUUCAAAAGAUUUGUUAGAUGUUUAUUGGAGUUCCUACAAAUCCAUGCUGGCUUUCAGUGGUUGUAUUGCUAUUCAUACAAAUCAAUUGACAACCAUUCCAGUAUUCCUAUGGAACUAAAGUAAAUCUAAAGAAAUUUUCUUGGCUAACGAUUUAGCCACCCUUUCUCUGUGACAUAAACCCGGCCACACAUUGUCUGCUUUCAAUAUUCAGGGAUGCUAUAUGUGCAUAUUGGAAGGGAAUUCUGUCUUAAUUGUCUCUCUGGCUACUAUUACAUGAGUAAAUUAAAUUCAUUGUUUUUUGCUAGUUUUCCUGGGUACAGAGACAAGGAGGUGGAGCUUUUAGCACUAUGUAUUCGAUACUGCCUACGUCGGUGCUACUUGAGGUUCAAAAUCCAAGGCCAGAAAUCACAAGUUUGCUGUUCUUUUUCCUUUUCUUUUCUUUUUUUUUUUUGGUUUGCUGGGCUUGCUCUGGAGAGAGUGUGGGAUUGGGACCACCAUUGCUCUUGCCACAGUGCUGCCAUCCCUGGGGAGAGAGCCCCCGCAGUGGGGCCUGAGCUGCACAGAGUCUCCAUUUCAGCAGCACAGCUCCUCAUUUGGAUGAACUAGAUUUCCUGACCCUCAUGGAAGCCACAUUGAAGCAUAUGGAAGACAGAGAAGUGAGUAGAGAAAAUAACACAGCUUCACCAAAGGCAAAUCUGGAGUUGUGCUGCCAGGGUAGUCUGGUGGCCUUCUUAUGAUGAUGUGACUGCAUCAGUGGAGAAUGAAAGAUCAACUGAUGUUACUUACCUGGUCACUUUUUAAGACCUUUGGCAUGGUCUCCCAUCAUAUUCUGGAUGCUAAAUUGGAGAGAUUAUGAGUUUGAUGGAUAUACUGUUAGAUGGAUAAGAGCUGACUGGAUGGUCGCAUUCAAAGAGUUACGGUCAAUGGCUCAAUGCUCUAGUGGAAACCAGUAAUCAGUGAUGUCCCUCAAGAGUCCAUAUGAACACCAAAGCUAUUUUACAUCUUCGUUGAUGGCACAGACCAAUGUGAUUGAAUGCACUCUCAUCAAGAUUUUGGAUAAGACCAAGAUGAAUGGUACAGCUGGUAUAUUAGAGGGAAGGGACACCAUCUAGGUGGAGCUUAAUAGGCUUGAGGAGUGGGACUGUAUGGAUCUCAUGAAUAUCAAUAAGACCAAUGCAAGGUCCUGCACCUGGGUCAUGUCAAUCUCCAACAUCAGCACAGACUGGAACAAGGAAUUGGAGUGGAAUCAAUCCAGAUGAGAAGGACUUGAUGUCCACCAUCCUUGUGGAUGAAAAAAUUGGAUGUGAUCAAGCAAUGUAUGCAUGCAGCCUUGGAAUCAUAUGCUGGGCUACAUCAAAAAAAGUAUAGCCAGCAGGUCAAGAGAGCCUCCAGUGAAGAUUACCAGCUGAUAGUGAUGCCCUGGCUACAGGACAACCUAUUGCCUGUUGCCUGCUUGUGAAGAGACAGUGAGACAGCAGAGGCUGAAGAAUCUUCACUAGAAGAAGAAAUUACCUUGAAAGGGAAGCAACUCAUCACUACUGCCAUUGCUGAAGAAAUACAACUCUGCCUUGAAAUAGACUCAUGGAAGGACUGGCAGAUCUAUGGAGAGAGGAGCUGGAGCUGGUUCGCUGGAAGGAAUUGUGAACCUGUGGAAGGGAAACAAGCUGGGGCAGUUUGUGGAAAAACGCAGCUCCUGGGAAGGACUGACAUUGGAGAAAUUAUUGGAGUUUAAUUAUAUCAUAAUUAUCAUUAUAAUUAUCCCUCCCACUCCCUCAUGUGGGAGGGAUUCCACACCAGAGCAGGGAAAGAAUAUGAGGCGUGCUUUCCCUGAAGAGGAAGCAGCAGCAAAGACAACUUUUGGUGAACUGACUGCAGCCCCCAUUUCCUGCUUCCCUGCACUGCUAGUGGGAAGAAAUUGGAGAAUUCAUAAGUAAAAUUAAGCCCAGGAGAAUGGAUGGGUCAGGGGAAGAUGUUUUUAAGAUUGGGCUUUAUUUUUCAUUUCCCUACUCUGAUUUGAGUGACAAAAAAUUAAACUAAUUUCCACAGUUGAGUCUGUUUUGUCAAUGACAGUAACUGGUGAGUGAUGACUUCCUGUCCUUAUCUUGACCCAUGAGACUUUCAUUAUAUCUUCUCUCCCUUAUCCAGCUGAGGAGGGGAGUGACAUAGAGUGGCUUUGGUGACCACCUGACAUCCAUCCAGGGUCAAUCCAUCACAUAUGGUGCCACCAAGGUAGACGUGAUUCCUUUAUUUUGAAUCCUAACUGGUACUGUAUGUAGUGGAGAGAGAGACAUCCAUUUACCAUGUAAGGCAAGAAAAUAGAAAUGCAGGAAAUAUAACAAAUUCUUAGAGAACAAAGCUGAUAUUUUUUAGAUGAAAAGGAGGUAGAAAUCUUCUCAGGCAACAGAAAAGAAGAAUGAGAUUAGUCUGUAACAACAGAUGUCAGACAAUAUUUCCAAAGAGUAAUUUAAUUUAGAAGAGAUUUUGAAGUUUCUGAAUUCCACUGCUUUCUUUAGUUCAACGAUUAGUACAGGAGAAGGCCUCAUCCAAAGCUGAUUGUAAUAAACUGAAAAUCUUCCACCAGUUACAUUAGGCUUUGGAACAAACCCAGGUUUUAUGAUAUAUGUUCAUAAUUUGCAAAGUCCAAUUUCCCUUUCAGUUAUACUAUCUCAUAAGCCAGAUCUUGUAGAUAAUUAUACAGGCUUGAAAUUCAUAAGCAGUAGUCAUAAAACUGUUGAACCCAUCACAUAAAAAAAGCCCAGAAAAACAACUGCUCUGUGAUGUUUCUGAGCUGCAAUCAGAACUGAAACCUCCCUCUUGUUCUGAAUCAGCCCCAGACACAAUGCAACACAUCCUUAUAUCAGCCACUUAUGUGAGGCCGUGGGAUUAAGGACAUUAAUGCACACGUCCAUUUUACAUGAGAUUUUAUUCUUAGUAUCAGAAAUAAAUGCGUCAAUGACUUAAGUGGAAAAUGGACAGAAAGAAGCUUUUCAAAUGCUCAAGUGGAACUGGUUACUACCUCUAGUGUCUUACACAAACCUUCCAUAUAAUUUCUUUUUGUACUCUUAAAUUAUGGUUUGGCAGAAGAAUAUCUGCAAGUGAACUGUAGCAAGUAAUAGGUUUUUAUGUUAUCCUCUAUCAGAUGCCAUUUAUAAAAUGAGUUCUUUAAGGGGUUCUGAAAAAGGGCAAAUCCCGUUGAUUGCUUAUGUUUAAAACAGAAAAGCAAGCACCUGAAUAACACAGAGUAAUUCUUUCCAGAGACAGAAUUACUUUUUUUUUUCUAGUUUGAACAAUACAUGAUUUUGCUGUACUGAUAAUUUCUUACAAAAAUAAUUAAUGGCCAUGUGUUUUAUUAUAUAAAUUAUGAUUAAAUUUUUAAAAUCACAACAUGUGGCUUAGGAUAUUCUUGCAAUAUCAUUUAUGCAGAUUUUAUUAAAGCGUCAGACUAAUAUCUUUCUAAAGAUAUGGAAUAGUCAAUUGCAUUGUAAUUUCUAAUGACUAUGGGGAACUCUGAACACUCGAUGCCUAAAAUUAUAAUGAUGUGUUGCUGUAGUCAUUAUGUGAAUAUUACUACUUUGAUGGGGUGCUCUGACCUCGUUUUUAUCAUUGCUUUUCUUUUCUUUAAAACCAUCUCCACUAUAUAUAACACAAAGAUUUUUUUUAUAAUACUUUGGAGAUAGGGAAUUCAUUUUUACAAACAAUGAGAUUUUUUUCUUUUUUGUUCACAUGUCUUUUGACUGUCCUAAAUCAGUAUGAUAAUUACAAGCUAAAUAUUUUUUAAAAGUAUCUAUUUACUAUAUAAGUUUUGAAACAAGCCUUUCAUUGACUCUAACAAUGGAAUAUGCACUGUGUUCUGAGAUAUAACUACAGUAAUUUUCUUAUCUGCUGAUAUGUGAUUUACCUGUGUUUACUGUCAUCUUCUGAUCUAUAUAAAAGGCAAAAAGACUUUUCUGAAUUAAAUCUUCCUUCAGUGAGAAUACAUCAGAAAAAAAAAAUUAUUAAUGAUAUUAAGUUCACCAUUGGUAGGGGUUCCAGCACAGUCUGAUAAUGCACCAGUGACAAUGUACACCUGCCAUGGUUAAUAGCUGUCAUUUCUUUUAUCUUCACUGUAUUUCAAGCCUGAAUAUGUCCUAUUUUGAAAUCAUAAAGGAAGAGCAAUAUAUUGAUAUUCACGCAAUAGGUCUUUCAGGAUGCAAUUGAAGGUUAUAGUUCACAUGUUUUGCUGGUUUUACAUACUUAUUUUAGAAAAAAUACCCAAACAAUUUGCUUAUAAGAGUCAAGAAGUUGAUGGCAGUAACUUUUUUCUUUUUUGCAUAGAAUAUGUAGUCUUUUUCACAGAAGACAUAUUGAGUUAUUAUUCAAGAGAAUUGCACACCAAUACUUCUUUAUCUGAAUGUAAGCAGAUUAAUGAUCUUUUGAUACAGAGUCCUUCACACCAAAACACCUUGACAAUUUAAAUUAAUAUAAUAAGUAAUACCAGGACGCUGCAGUUUAUUAGCCCUUGGAGAGUGGAAUUUACUGGAACAUAGAUUAGGUUAACCACUGGGAAAAUUCUUAGGCCAUUUCAGUUUAGCACAGCAUAAAUUCUCAAGCAUGAGUCCCAGUGUUUUACUAAAUAAAAAUGUCUCUUGAAUUCAGGUUCUUUCCAGACAGUGAUUUCCCAGCCUGCAAUCAUUUUACAUCAUAUAUCACCCAGCUUCAGUCCAAUUUACCUCAGACAAUCUGGUAGCUGCAAGACUGAAAAACACAUUAAUACUAUUUGAAAACCAUUGUCAUCCAAAGUUUUGCUUAUUCUUUUUUUGAUUUUAAAUAGGAAUAGGUUUUGGAAAUGUAAAGUAGACAAAAUAAAUAAGUUUCAGAACACUGUAGCUUAGUGAAAUUUUUCUGUAAGGCUUUCCUUUUUUUCACCAAUUAAUAUGUUUUCAGAUGGGUAGCCAUUUUCUACAGAUCAUCAACCUGUUCCCAUGGGUACAGUAAUGGUGAGGUAUGAUACAAAAAGCACUUUUAGAUUUAAAGCCAAUUGUGAAUUUAUUAACAAUCCUUCCAGAUCCACAGUAUUUCUAACCUUAAGAGAGACAUAAAAGUUAGUCUGUUUCCUGGGAGUGUGCUGAUAAACAGUCAUGACAUCCCUUUUUCCGAGUAAAAUAAUGCGAUACUAUACAAUCACUUCUGUUAUGUGAAGGCUUUCUUUCUAUCAUCAGAGCAAGAGAAGCAUAAAUCAUGUGUGUGAUAAACCACAUAAAGAAAAAUAAAAAUUACAUCUUUCUAGGCAAAUAAUUUCAAAGCCCAGUUGAAUAAAUCUAUGAGUAAUAAUCAAGGAUAAGAGGAAAAAAGGUAUAAGCACAAAUUGAUUCAAAAGAAAUUUAAAUGGUUUAAGAUUAACAUAUUUGAGGUUCAUUUUUUAGGCUAGAUUUUUUUUUAAUCUUCAAACAAAUUGAGAUAUUACCAGUUUUGAAGACAUGACGAACGAAUAUUAUUUAAAAAAAACCCCUAAAAAUACAGUACAGGUUUAGUUUUGAGGAGAAACAAUCAGACAAAGAGUCCAACUCAACUCUCCCCUCCCCCUCCCAAACACAAGAACACAACCUCCCACCUUCCCACCUUUUACACUGUGAACUUAUAAAGAAAUAGCUGUGUACCUAGUUCUGCAGAGAAUUCGCCACUUAUCUAUAUAGGAAUCCUAUCCUAUCCUAUCCCUUUGUUCUUAAAUAAACAAAAUUUAAGGGUAGCUGCUAGACAAUGUAAAAAGAUUAAGGAAAAAAACACAUAAAUCCAGAAGACCUCCUGAAGACAAAUACAGAGAAGCUAAAGCUGAAGGACAUGUGAUCUGUGAUGGGUUGACCCUGGCUGGACACCAGGUGUCCACCAAAACCACUCUAUCACUCCCCUCCUCAGAUGGACAGUGGAGAGAAAACAUAACAAAUGAUUGGUGGGUUGAGGUAAGGACAGGAGGAAAUCACUCAGCAGUUACUGUCACUGACAAAACAGAUUUGACCUGGGGAAAUUGGCUUAAUUCAUUGCCAGAUAAGGAGUACUUAAACAAUUUCGAGUCAUACAUCACAAGACAUAAGCUUGUAAAAGUUUAUGGGAGCUGGAGUGGACCACUCAGAGAGCUGAGUGCCCUGGGUAAUGGAAAGCUGGAAAUCUGUCAUCUUUAAAGGGUGGCAAUCAUGCCAAUCAAGGACAGUGCUUGGUGACCAGUCGCUUCCAACCCGCAUGGUUCUGUGAAAUGGAGUUCAGUCAUCCUUGGCCAAGGAAUGUCAGUCUUCAGUCACUGAUUCAGGAUAUCUAUGUAUUCAUCUGAGUUAAAUUCAGAAAACACAGAAAAAUCAUUGGAUUUUUAAUCUAGCUACAAGACAGAAACCUACUUUAGUGAAAAAAAAUUCAAUAACAAUCUUGUCUGUAUUUCAGAUCUCAUGCACCUCUGGAUCAAGAUCUUACAUUCUAAGCCAUCCAUUUUGUCCCCCAAAACAGCAAGUACAUUGACAAAGAAAAUCUUAGCCUUAGGAACAGCUAAAUGAGCAAAGAUUCCUCUGCAGACUGUGGUGAGACCAUGGUGAAGCAGCUGUGCCCCUGCAGGGGAUGCAGAGAUCCACCUGCAGCCCAUGGGGAGGUGCCCAUGCCAGUGCAGGUGGAUGCCUGGAGGAGGCUGUGAUCCAGUGGGAUACCUGAUGGAGAGGAGGGUCCUGGUCACAGGCUGGAGCAGCCUGUCCUUGGAGGACUGCACCCCGUGGAAGAGUGACCCACACCACAGCAGUUUUGGGAGGACUGUGUGCCUGUGGGGGGAAUUCAUGUUGCAGCAGGUGUGGCAGGACUGCUGCUCAUGAGAGUGGACCCACCCUGGAGAAGUUCACAGAGAACUGUCCCCUGUGGGAGGGACCCCAUGGCCUCACAGGGGAAGAAAGUCUUGGUGAUGAACUGACCAAAACCCCCAUGCCCUGUUUCCCUGCACUAUCAGUGGGAAGUAUGAGAAGUUGGGGGUGGGGAAAGAAGGUGUUUUAAGGACUUAUUUUACUUCUCA
Long non-coding RNA from Passer domesticus (house sparrow), 8269 nucleotides. RefSeq lists it as uncharacterized. The transcript has 8 exons. Lineage: Eukaryota; Metazoa; Chordata; Aves; Passeriformes; Passeridae. The record is from RefSeq and is a predicted model, not a curated record.